UUUAACUGAGCGUUCAGUUACUUGACGUAGACCCGAAACCGGGCGACCUACCCAUGAGCAGGAUGAAGCGAAAGUAAAAUUUCGUGGAGGUCCGAACCCACGAGCGUUGAAAAGCUCGGGGAUGACUUGUGGGUAGCGGUGAAAUUCCAAUCGAGCCCGGAGAUAGCUGGUUCUCCCCGAAAUAGCUUUAGGGCUAGCCUCAAGGUGAGAGAUACGGAGGUAGAGCACUGAAUGUCCUAGGGGGUAUUGCACCUACCGAAGACUAUCAAACUCCGAAUGCCGUCAUCUUAUACUUGGGAGUCAGACUGUGGGUGAUAAGAUUCAUAGUCGAAAGGGCAACAGCCCAGAUCGUCAGCUAAGGUCCCUAAAUGUAAGUUAAGUGGUAAAGGAUGUGGGAUUGCACAGACAACCAGGAUGUUGGCUUAGAAGCAGCCACUCAUUCAAAGAGUGCGUAAUAGCUCACUGGUCGAGUGAUCCUGCGCCGAAGAUUUCCGGGGCUAAAACUUACUACCGAAGCUACGGCAUCAGUAAUGAUGGGUAGGGGAGCUUCCCAUACGGGUUGAAGCAUGACCGUAAGGACAUGUGGACAGUAUGGGAGUGAGAAUGUUGGCAUGAGUAGCGAGAUGUGGGUGAGAAUCCCACAGGCCGUAAACCCAAGGUUUCCAGGGGAAGGUUCGUCCGCCCUGGGUUAGUCGGGACCUAAGCUGAGGCCGAAAGGCGUAGGUGAUGGACAACAGGUUGAUAUUCCUGUACUACCGAUAACCGUUUGAGAGAUGGGAUGACACAGUAGGAUAAGCUAAGCACACUGUUGGU
RNAcentral lists this ribosomal RNA (813 nucleotides) under Clostridioides difficile. RNAcentral describes it as "partial 23S ribosomal RNA". It matches the Rfam family "Bacterial large subunit ribosomal RNA", at positions 683 to 1502 of the family's 2925-position model. The record is from RNAcentral. Lineage: Bacteria; Bacillati; Bacillota; Clostridia; Peptostreptococcales; Peptostreptococcaceae.